RNAcentral lists this ribosomal RNA (1436 nucleotides) under uncultured methanogenic archaeon. RNAcentral describes it as "bacterial SSU rRNA". It matches the Rfam family "Bacterial small subunit ribosomal RNA". The record is from RNAcentral. Lineage: Archaea; Methanobacteriati; Methanobacteriota.
UGCAAGUCGUACGCGUUGGCCCAACUGAUUUGAAGUGCUUGCACGGAUCUGACGUUGGUUUACCAACGAGUGGCGGACGGGUGAGUAACACGUAGGUAACCUGCCCAGAAGCGGGGGACAACACUUGGAAACAGGUGCUAAUACCGCAUAACAAUUCAAAUCGCAUGAUUUGAAUUUGAAAGAUGGUUUCGGCUAUCACUUCUGGAUGGACCUGCGGCGCAUUAGCUUGUUGGUGGGGUAACGGCCUACCAAGGCAGUGAUGCGUAGCCGAGUUGAGAGACUGAUCGGCCACAAUGGGACUGAGACACGGCCCAUACACCUACGGGAGGCAGCAGUAGGGAAUCUUCCACAAUGGGCGCAAGCCUGAUGGAGCAACACCGCGUGAGUGAAGAAGGUUUUCGGAUCGUAAAGCUCUGUUGUUGAAGAAGAACGUGCAUGAGAGUAACUGUUCAUGCAGUGACGGUAUUCAACCAGAAAGUCACGGCUAACUACGUGCCAGCAGCCGCGGUAAUACGUAGGUGGCAAGCGUUAUCCGGAUUUAUUGGGCGUAAAGAGAGUGCAGGCGGUUUCUUAAGUCUGAUGUGAAAGCCUUCGGCUCAACCGAAGAAGUGCAUCGGAAACUGGGAAACUUGAGUACAGAAGAGGGCAGUGGAACUCCAUGUGUAGCGGUGGAAUGCGUAGAUAUAUGGAAGAACACCAGUGGCGAAGGCGGCUGCCUGGUCUGUAACUGACGCUGAGACUCGAAAGCAUGGGUAGCGAACAGGAUUAGAUACCCUGGUAGUCCAUGCCGUAAACGAUGAGUGCUAGGUGUUGGAGGGUUUCCGCCCUUCAGUGCCGGAGCUAACGCAUUAAGCACUCCGCCUGGGGAGUACGACCGCAAGGUUGAAACUCAAAGGAAUUGACGGGGGCCCGCACAAGCGGUGGAGCAUGUGGUUUAAUUCGAAGCUACGCGAAGAACCUUACCAGGUCUUGACAUCUUGCGCCAACCCUAGAGAUAGGGCGUUUCCUUCGGGAACGCAAUGACAGGUGGUGCAUGGUCGUCGUCAGCUCGUGUCGUGAGAUGUUGGGUUAAGUCCCGCAACGAGCGCAACCCUUGUUACUAGUUGCCAGCAUUAAGUUGGGCACUCUAGUGAGACUGCCGGUGACAAACCGGAGGAAGGUGGGGACGACGUCAGAUCAUCAUGCCCCUUAUGACCUGGGCUACACACGUGCUACAAUGGACGGUACAACGAGCAGCGAACUCGCGAGGGCAAGCAAAUCUCUUAAAACCGUUCUCAGUUCGGAUUGCAGGCUGCAACUCGCCUGCAUGAAGUCGGAAUCGCUAGUAAUCGCGGAUCAGCAUGCCGCGGUGAAUACGUUCCCGGGCCUUGUACACACCGCCCGUCACACCAUGAGAGUUUGUAACACCCAAAGUCGGUGGGGUAACCUUUGGAGCC